CGUAGAGAGUUUGAUCCUGGCUCAGGAUGAACGCUGGCGGCGUGCUUAACACAUGCAAGUCGAGCGGAGCACAUCAUUGGAAUCCUUCGGAGGAAGAGGAUGUGGCUUAGCGGCGGACGGGUGAGUAACGCGUGGACAACCUGCCCUAUGCAGGGGGAUAACAUCCGGAAACGGGUGCUAAUACCGCAUAAGCGCACAGUACCGCAUGGUACAGUGUGAAAAGCUGAGGCGGCAUAGGAUGGGUCCGCGUUGGAUUAGGCAGUUGCGGGGUAACGGCCCACCAAACCGACGAUCCAUAGCCGGCCUGAGAGGGUGGGCGGCCACAUUGGGACUGAGACACGGCCCAGACUCCUACGGGAGGCAGCAGUGGGGAAUAUUGCACAAUGGGGGGAACCCUGAUGCAGCGACGCCGCGUGGGUGAGGAAGUACUUCGGUAUGUAAAGCCCUAUCAGCAGGGAAGAAAAUGACGGUACCUGACUAAGAAGCCCCGGCUAACUACGUG
RNAcentral lists this ribosomal RNA (502 nucleotides) under uncultured Marvinbryantia sp. RNAcentral describes it as "bacterial SSU rRNA". It matches the Rfam family "Bacterial small subunit ribosomal RNA", at positions 1 to 507 of the family's 1533-position model. The record is from RNAcentral. Lineage: Bacteria; Bacillati; Bacillota; Clostridia; Lachnospirales; Lachnospiraceae.